UGGGGAAUUUUGGACAAUGGGGGAAACCCUGAUCCAGCCAUCCCGCGUGUGCGAUGACGGCCUUCGGGUUGUAAAGCACUUUUGGCAGGAAAGAAACGUCAUGGGUUAAUACCCCGUGAAACUGACGGUACCUGCAGAAUAAGCACCGGCUAACUACGUGCCAGCAGCCGCGGUAAUACGUAGGGUGCAAGCGUUAAUCGGAAUUACUGGGCGUAAAGCGUGCGCAGGCGGUUCGGAAAGAAAGAUGUGAAAUCCCAGAGCUCAACUUUGGAACUGCAUUUUUAACUACCGGGCUAGAGUGUGUCAGAGGGAGGUGGAAUUCCGCGUGUAGCAGUGAAAUGCGUAGAUAUGUGGAGGAACACCGAUGGCGAAGGCAGCCUCCUGGGAUAACACUGACGCUCAUGCACGAAAGCGUGGGGAGCAAACAGG
RNAcentral lists this ribosomal RNA (429 nucleotides) under Acidobacteriota bacterium. RNAcentral describes it as "Acidobacteria bacterium partial 16S ribosomal RNA". It matches the Rfam family "Bacterial small subunit ribosomal RNA", at positions 355 to 776 of the family's 1533-position model. The record is from RNAcentral. Lineage: Bacteria; Pseudomonadati; Acidobacteriota.